RNAcentral lists this ribosomal RNA (253 nucleotides) under uncultured bacterium. Its description in RNAcentral is "partial 16S ribosomal RNA". It matches the Rfam family "Bacterial small subunit ribosomal RNA", at positions 524 to 776 of the family's 1533-position model. The record is from RNAcentral.
GACAGAGGGUGCAAACGUUGCUCGGAAUUACUGGGCGUAAAGCGCGUGUAGGCGGUCACGCAAGUCGGGUGUGAAAGCCCAGGGCUCAACCCUGGAAGUGCACAUGAUACUACGUGGCUGGAGUACUGAAGAGGAGAGCGGAAUUCCCGGUGUAGAGGUGAAAUUCGUAGAUAUCGGGAGGAACACCAGUGGCGAAGGCGGCUCUCUGGGCAGAUACUGACGCUGAGACGCGAAAGCGUGGGUAGCAAACAGG